AUCCGACUGACGAGUCCGGAGUGGGACGAAACGUGCGUUCUGGAU
Non-coding RNA from Schistosoma haematobium, 45 nucleotides. The record is from Rfam. Lineage: Eukaryota; Metazoa; Platyhelminthes; Trematoda; Strigeidida; Schistosomatidae.